UUGAAAUCUGGCCCCCCGGGUCCGAGUUGUAAUUUGCAGAGGAUGCUUUUGGCGCGGUGCCUUCCGAGUUCCCUGGAACGGGACGCCAUAGAGGGUGAGAGCCCCGUACGGUUGGACACCAAGCCUAUGUAAAGCUCCUUCGACGAGUCGAGUAGUUUGGGAAUGCUGCUCAAAAUGGGAGGUAUAUUUCUUCUAAAGCUAAAUACCGGCCAGAGACCGAUAGCGCACAAGUAGAGUGAUCGAAAGAUGAAAAGCACUUUGAAAAGAGGGUUAAACAGCACGUGAAAUUGUUAAAAGGGAAGCGCUUGUGACCAGACUUGCGUCCGGUGAAUCACCCAGCUCUCGCGGCUGGGGCACUUUGCCGGCUCAGGCCAGCAUCAGCUCGCCGUCGGGGACAAAAGCUUCGGGAACGUAGCUCUCUUCGGGGAGUGUUAUAGCCCGUUGCACAAUACCCUUCGGCGGGCUGAG
RNAcentral lists this ribosomal RNA (468 nucleotides) under Colletotrichum magnum. Its description in RNAcentral is "eukaryotic LSU rRNA". It matches the Rfam family "Eukaryotic large subunit ribosomal RNA", at positions 115 to 592 of the family's 3401-position model. Lineage: Eukaryota; Fungi; Ascomycota; Sordariomycetes; Glomerellales; Glomerellaceae. The record is from RNAcentral.